ACACUCCCAUCUGUAAAGUGAGGUCUGCCACCUCCUGUCUAAGCGUUGCGUUCUCUCUACGACACUCAACAAUCUGAGUGCGGAUGUCGGUUGUCUGCAAUGAAAUAUUAUUAGAGAAAACAGUGAUUCUGGGAGAUGGUGGUGUAGGCGUGUAUUCAGAAAUGGGUGGUGAUCUCGGUUCCUCAACGGUCUCUCCCUGGCCCUCAAGAGCAUAACUCCAAUUCGCUGGAUCAUGCACACUGGUCAUCAUAGGAUCUGGCAGUGUGAAAUAAUG
Molecule: long non-coding RNA, 274 nt
Filed under: Lathyrus oleraceus (garden pea)
Lineage: Eukaryota; Viridiplantae; Streptophyta; Magnoliopsida; Fabales; Fabaceae
Description: Pisum sativum (pea) long non-coding RNA (PSAT_LNC020926)
Source: RNAcentral